RNAcentral lists this long non-coding RNA (894 nucleotides) under Citrus x clementina. Its description in RNAcentral is "Citrus clementina (C. clementina) long non-coding RNA (CCLE_LNC005951)". The record is from RNAcentral. Lineage: Eukaryota; Viridiplantae; Streptophyta; Magnoliopsida; Sapindales; Rutaceae.
CGAGUCCGGCGGACGAAGUUAGCCGGCCCCACCCCCCAAGGCUAUAGCCCACCCGUUUUUGUUGCCUUUUUCCGCUGGACGAACUUGGCGCCCCGGCCUUCGGGUGUUUAUUUUUGGGCGCGGCUGUCCCCGCGGCCUAUUUUUGGCACACGGAGGUGCCUCGCAAAGUCUCGCGCCAUUUCGAGUCCGGCGGACGAAGUUGGCCAGCCCCACCCCCCAAGGCUAUAGCCCACCCGUUUUUGUGGGCUUUUUCCGCUGGACGAACUUGGCGCACCGGCCUUCGGGUGGUUAUUUUUGGGCGCAGCUGUGCCCGCGGCCUAUUUUUGGUGCACGGAGGUGCCUCGCAAAGUCUGGCGCCAUUCCGAGUCCAGCGGACGAAGUUGGCCAGCCCCACCCCCCAAGGCUAUAGCCCACCCGUUUUUGUGGCCUUUUUCCGCUGGACGAACUUGGCGACCCAGCCUUCGGGCGGUUAUUUUUGGCUGCGGUUGUACCCGUGGCCUAUUUUUGGCACACGGAGGCGCCUCACAAAGUCUCGCGCCAUUCCGAGUCCGGCGGACGAAGUUGGCCAGCCCCACCCCCCAAGGCUAUAGCCCACCCGUUUUUGUGGGCUUUUUCCGCUGGACGAACUUGGCGCCCCGGCCUGCGGGUGAUUAUUUUUGGGGGCGGCUGUGCCCACGGCCCAUUUUUGGCACACGGAGAUGCCUCGCAAAGUCUCGCGCCAUUCCGAGUCCGGCGGACGAAGUUGGCCUGCCCCACCCCCCAAGGCUAUAGCCCACCCGUUUUUGUGGGCUUUUUCCGCUGGACGAACUUGGCUCCCCGGCCUUCGGGUGGUUAUUUUUGGGCGCGGCUGUGCCCGCGGCCCAUUUUUGGGACACGGAGGCCCCUCGCAAAGUC